GCUGGCUGUUCUGGAACAUCAUGUGUGGAAUCUUAGAAUGACACUGCUUUAGCUUGGCAUGAUUCUGAGAUUCAUCCCUGGUGGCUGCACCACUUUACAUUCUCAUCAAUUGGGAGUUAUAAUUACGGUUACCCUAUACCCUUGCCGUGCUUCAACCUUGUCAAUAUUUUUAGCUUAGCUUUGCUGGAUAAACAAUCUUGUUUUACUGU
This is a long non-coding RNA of Mastomys coucha (southern multimammate mouse), 209 nucleotides long. RefSeq lists it as uncharacterized. The record is from RefSeq and is a predicted model, not a curated record. The transcript has 2 exons. Lineage: Eukaryota; Metazoa; Chordata; Mammalia; Rodentia; Muridae.